RNAcentral lists this ribosomal RNA (253 nucleotides) under uncultured bacterium. RNAcentral's name for it is "partial 16S ribosomal RNA". It matches the Rfam family "Bacterial small subunit ribosomal RNA", at positions 524 to 776 of the family's 1533-position model. The record is from RNAcentral.
UACGUAGGGGGCUAGCGUUGUCCGGAAUCAUUGGGCGUAAAGAGCGUGUAGGCGGCCCGGUAAGUCCGCUGUGAAAGUCGGGGGCUCAACCCUCGGAUGCCGGUGGAUACUGUCGGGCUCGAGUACGGAAGAGGCGAGUGGAAUUCCUGGUGUAGCGGUGAAAUGCGCAGAUAUCAGGAGGAACACCAAUUGCGAAGGCAGCUCGCUGGGACGUAACUGACGCUGAGACGCGAAAGCGUGGGGAGCAAACAGG